CGCUUAUCAAGAAAGGCAGAGGGAAAUGGCCCUAUGAAGCCUUGACAACCUGUUUCGUGGCAACACGAAGUAAGGUGCCAAAUCCAGCCCGCACAGCGGGAACAGAUAAGUC
RNAcentral lists this non-coding RNA (112 nucleotides) under Flavihumibacter sp. ZG627. RNAcentral describes it as "SAM riboswitch aptamer (S box leader)". It matches the Rfam family "SAM riboswitch aptamer (S box leader)". Rfam says of the family: The SAM riboswitch is found upstream of a number of genes which code for proteins involved in methionine or cysteine biosynthesis in Gram-positive bacteria. The SAM riboswitch acts at the level of transcription termination control. The record is from Rfam by way of RNAcentral. RNAcentral also lists the same sequence under 1 other name. Lineage: Bacteria; Pseudomonadati; Bacteroidota; Chitinophagia; Chitinophagales; Chitinophagaceae.